GGAGCAUAGUCAUUAUCACAUAAAGCCAGGGUGAAUAGCGUUUUCACAUCUAUGGUGUCAGGAAGUGUUUGUAUUCCUGACACUAUAGUGUUCCUUUAAGCAGGAACAUUCUGGUCACCAUAACAACGUCAUCUAAAUGAAAAUGCUAUAAUGCCAGGAAGCUCUUUUUCCUUUAAGGGGUUAAACUGCUCUCAAAUGGUUUAACCCCAAAGGCUUCCUCCAGCUCCAGAUUUCCAGGUCGCUCAGUGGUAUUCGGCUUCUGAAACAGAGUGUCAGGAAGUGCAGAUUGACGUCAGGCAUGGGUGCUACAGAUUGGCUAGAGUGCUCAGUUGAUGCUCUAAGCCAAUCGCUAGUUCCCAGUUCAUAAAAAUGUUUUACUUUUUUAUGAAUGAGGAGCUACUGAUUGGCUUAGAGUGACAGCUGAGCGCUCUAGCCAAUCAGCGACAACCCUCACCAGUGGCUCUCUGUGCUUCCUGACACUCCGUAAAUAAAAGUGAACCCAUUAACACUGAUAUUUUUUUUUACCUGGGGAGAUGAGAAGGUCCAAAGUUUCCCUUUUUCUUCUGACUCUGUCUUCUCUCCUCCUUGGCUCCUUCUGCUACUUUACCUUUUUGCUACUUUCUGCUUAUUGUGCUCUCCCUUCUGCUCCUUUCUCUUACUGAUCCCUUUCUGCUCCUUGCAGACCCUUUCUGCUCUUUCUCCUACUUUACCUUUGUGCUCCUUGCUGUCCCUUUCUGCUCCUUGCUACCCUUUUCUGCUCCUUCUCCUACUUUACCUUUGUGCUCCUUCUGAUUCUUUCUGCUCCUUUACCUUUGUGCUCCUUCUGUCCCUUUCUGCUCUUUGCAGACCCUUCCUUCUCCUUGCAGACCCUUCCUGCUCCUUGCAGACCCUUCCUGCUCAUUUCUGUUCCUUCUCCUACUUCGCCGUUGUGCUCCUUCUGUCCCUUCCUGCUCCUUGCUGCCCUUUUCAGAUCCUUGCUGACCCUUGUUGCUCCGUCUAUGCUACCUUUGUGCUGCUUUACCUUCCUGCUCCUUGCUGGCCCUUCCUGCUUCUUGCUGGUCCUUCCUGCUCCUUGUUGACCCUCCCUGCUCCUUGCAGACCCUUCCUUCUCCUUGUUGACCUUUCGUGCUCCUUGAACACCCUUCCUGCUCUUUGCUGCCCCUUCCUGCUCAUUUGUGUUCCUUUGUGCUCCUUCUCCUACUUUACCUGUUGUGCUCCUUGCUGUCCCUUCCAGCUCCUUGCUGCCCCUUUCUGCUCAUUUCUAUUCCUUCUUCUUUCUGCUCUUUCCUUCUCCUUUCUGCUCCUUCUCUUACUUUCCUUGCUGACCCUUCCUGUAGGCUGUCUCCCCCAUUCCUUACUUACCUGAUCUAUAGGCCAUCUCUGCCCCCCCAUGCCUCACUUCGCUAUCUCUGCCCCCCAUAUGCCUCACUUCCCUGAUCUGUAGGCUAUCUCUGCCCCCCAUAUGCCUAACUUCCCUGAUCUGUAGGCUAUCUCUGCCCCCAUCCCUCACUUCCCUGAUCUGUAGGCUAUCUCUGUCCCCCAUCCC
Molecule: non-coding RNA, 1546 nt
Organism: Pelobates cultripes (western spadefoot toad)
Lineage: Eukaryota; Metazoa; Chordata; Amphibia; Anura; Pelobatidae
Source: the annotation of a GenBank genome assembly